GCCGCUGUAGCUCAGUUGGUAGAGCGCCCGCCUUGUAAGCGGACGGUCAGGGGUUCGAGUCCCCUCAGCGGCU
RNAcentral lists this transfer RNA (73 nucleotides) under Saccharopolyspora erythraea. RNAcentral's name for it is "tRNA-Thr". It matches the Rfam family "tRNA". From Rfam's summary of the family: Transfer RNA (tRNA) molecules are approximately 80 nucleotides in length. Their secondary structure includes four short double-helical elements and three loops (D, anti-codon, and T loops). The record is from RNAcentral. RNAcentral also lists the same sequence under 9 other names. Lineage: Bacteria; Bacillati; Actinomycetota; Actinomycetes; Pseudonocardiales; Pseudonocardiaceae.